RNAcentral lists this long non-coding RNA (422 nucleotides) under Homo sapiens (human). RNAcentral describes it as "non-protein coding lnc-ATF2-1:2". Lineage: Eukaryota; Metazoa; Chordata; Mammalia; Primates; Hominidae. The record is from RNAcentral.
AUGUUCGCCUGCGCCAAGCUCGCCUGCACCCCCUCUCUAUCCGAGCUGGAUCCAGAGUUGCAUACAGACCAAUUUCUGCAUCAGUGUUAUCUCGACCAGAGGCUAGUAGGACUGGAGAGGCUCUACGGUAUUUAAUGGGGCCCAGAAUGGUGUGUCUCAGCUAAUCCAAAGGGAGUUUCAGACCAGUGCAAUCAGCAGAGACAUUGAUACUGCUGCCAAAUUUAUUGGUGCAGGUGCUGCAACAGUAGGAGUGGCUGGUUCUGGUGCUGGUAUUGGAACAGUCUUUGGCAGCCUUAUCAUUGGUUAUGCCAAAACCCUUCGCUGAAGCAGCAGCUGUUCUCAUAUGCUAUCCUGGGAUUUGCCUUGUCUGAAGCUAUGGGUCUCUUUUGUUUGAUGGUUGCUUUCUUGAUUUUGUUUGCCAU